GAUGAACGCUAGCGGCAGGCUUAAUACAUGCAAGUCGUGGGGCAGCAGGUUUGUAGCAAUACAGAUGCUGGCGACCGGCAAACGGGUGCGGAACACGUACAGAACCUUCCUUUGAGCGGGGAAUAGCCCAGAGAAAUUUGGAUUAAUACCCCAUAGUAUAAUGAAAGUGGCAUCACUUUAUUAUUAAAGAUUUAUCACUCGAAGAUGGCUGUGCGGCUGAUUAGGUAGUUGGCGGGGUAAAGGCCCACCAAGCCUGCGAUCAGUAACUGGUGUGAGAGCACGACCAGUCACACGGGCACUGAGACACGGGCCCGACUCCUACGGGAGGCAGCAGUAAGGAAUAUUGGUCAAUGGAGGCAACUCUGAACCAGCCAAUGCCGCGUGGAGGAUGAAGGUCCUCUGGAUUGUAAACUUCUUUAUAUGGGACGAAAAAAGGCUUUUCUAAGUCGUCUGACGGUACCAUAUGAAUAAGCACCGGCUAACU
This 484-nucleotide ribosomal RNA is filed under the name uncultured bacterium. RNAcentral's name for it is "bacterial SSU rRNA". It matches the Rfam family "Bacterial small subunit ribosomal RNA", at positions 28 to 502 of the family's 1533-position model. The record is from RNAcentral.